RNAcentral lists this ribosomal RNA (447 nucleotides) under uncultured bacterium. RNAcentral describes it as "SSU rRNA". It matches the Rfam family "Bacterial small subunit ribosomal RNA", at positions 26 to 518 of the family's 1533-position model. The record is from RNAcentral.
AGAAUGAACGCUGGCGGCAUGCCUAACACAUGCAAGUCGAACGAAGGCUUCGGCCUUAGUGGCGCACGGGUGCGUAACGCGUGGGAAUCUACCCUUAGGUUCGGAAUAACAGUUGGAAACGACUGCUAAUACCGGAUGAUGACGUAAGUCCAAAGAUUUAUCGCCUAGGGAUGAGCCCGCGUAGGAUUAGCUAGUUGGUGUGGUAAAGGCGCACCAAGGCGACGAUCCUUAGCUGGUCUGAGAGGAUGAUCAGCCACACUGGGACUGAGACACGGCCCAGACUCCUACGGGAGGCAGCAGUGGGGGAAUAUUGGACAAUGGGCGAAAGCCUGAUCCAGCAAUGCCGCGUGAGUGAUGAAGGCCUUAGGGUUGUAAAGCUCUUUUACCCGGGAUGAUAAUGACAGUACCGGGAGAAUAAGCUCCGGCUAACUCCGUGCCAGCAGCCGC